UGUUGUUGUUGAGAUCCGAAGUCCUGGAGUUUUUGUUGUUGUUUUUUUGUUGUUAUUGAUGUUGUUUUUGUCGUUGUUCUUGUUCUUGUUUUUGAGACUCUAAACCCUAGAGGUUGUUUAUUGAUGUUGUUGUUAUUGAUAUUGUUUUUAUUUAUUAACAUUGUUGUUCUUGAUGUUAUGUUUGAUGUUAUUGUUGUUUUCUU
RNAcentral lists this long non-coding RNA (203 nucleotides) under Lathyrus oleraceus (garden pea). RNAcentral describes it as "Pisum sativum (pea) long non-coding RNA (PSAT_LNC027559)". Lineage: Eukaryota; Viridiplantae; Streptophyta; Magnoliopsida; Fabales; Fabaceae. The record is from RNAcentral.